Eptesicus fuscus (big brown bat) is the source of this 231-nucleotide long non-coding RNA. RefSeq lists it as uncharacterized. The record is from RefSeq and is a predicted model, not a curated record. Lineage: Eukaryota; Metazoa; Chordata; Mammalia; Chiroptera; Vespertilionidae. The transcript is spliced from 2 exons.
UCUCACCUGCUGGGUGGGCGAGAGGUUGAGAUCUGGGGGUUAGGGGCAGGUGGGCUGAUGGGUACUCCCUGCUCCCAUAGGACCAGCUCCAAGGAGAGUGAAGGCGUUGAGCAUCCUGGAGGGUUAGCUGUCAUCUUUCGAGUUAUGAGAGUCUGACCUGCGCGGUGCCCACCCUACAGUUCUCCAUUCCCAACUGCUCAUCUUAAUCUCUAAAGAGAAAUGAGUUUUCAA